This is a non-coding RNA of Theobroma cacao (cacao), 783 nucleotides long. NCBI's taxonomy places the organism in Eukaryota, Viridiplantae, Streptophyta, Magnoliopsida, Malvales, Malvaceae. The record is from RefSeq and is a predicted model, not a curated record.
ACUUUCACCUUUGCCGAGCUAUUCAUUUUCUAUUUGAUAGUAAUCUUUCUUCUGUUCUGCCUUUCUUCCCUUGGUGAUGGAUGCAGACACCAACCAACCGCUUACCUGCCAAUAGUAAUAAUUCUUUAAAGUCUAGUCUUGGACGACCUCGAAACUAUUGAGCAAGGGACCCUUUCUCUAGCUCCUCCUCCAGAAGCCCACGGAGCGGUGAAGGGAACAAGAUUUCUCUCUCCGAAGAAAAGCGUUCCUUCAUUCAUCCCUGCAGGCGAACUGAUCCAGUUGAAACAUAAACUACAUUUCUACCCUGUAGCCCGUACCUUUCCUACGUCGUGAAGCCAAGGAGUGAUCCGUUUUGGAGGACGAUUAUGACUCGCCUGGAAGACAGUUUCCAGUAACAAAGCUUCAGAUGUGAAACUUGCAAGAGACAAAGGGGUAGAGGAUACCCCAGAAAUUUCAGGGUCUUUCCUAGCAAAUUUAACUGCUGUUCUGCUUAUUUUAACAAUCUUUUACAAUGUCUUAUUUUACGCGGUGAUAAAGCCAUCCAUAGACGGACCUGAUGAUCAGUCAGGUCCUCAACCUAGCCAGCCAAAGUGAGUCAAGAGGUGCAGCAGUUGCAACCAUUGAUAUACCACAAGUUUGCUUUCAGUGCGGAUUCAAUUGAUGUUGGUUAGAGCUUAAUAUUAAGAGCAAAUUUUUGUUCAUGUAGUUGAAACUCAAAGUAUAUUUUGGCCAAUGUAUCCGGAAAGCAAAAUGCAAAGAAAGAAAUAUGUGAAACUUGAAGCG